RNAcentral lists this ribosomal RNA (116 nucleotides) under Sinocyclocheilus grahami. The record is from RNAcentral. Lineage: Eukaryota; Metazoa; Chordata; Actinopteri; Cypriniformes; Cyprinidae.
UGCCACAGCCAUAUCACCCUGCAGCCCAAGACUGGUCCCCCACUGAAGCUGAGCAGGGCUGAGCUGGUCAGUAGCUGGAUGGGAGACCUCCUGGGGAAACUAUGCUGCUGCUGGAA